CUGCGGCCCUGGCCUGGCCUCGACCCGGCAGUGCCUGUGCCCCCUGCGCCCCCCAGAGCCCUAGUCCUGUGCACCACUCACUCUCCGUUGGUGAACAGCUCGGGUUGUAUUCCGGAACCGAAGCUGCUCAUUCAUCACACUGCUGCCACGACGCGUCUAUGAGCUUCCAGCAGUUCAGAGGUGAGAACUGUUGAGAUAGAUACAAGCUGAAAUAUCCAUUGGUCUCGCCGUCUCCACCUUCAAGAGGAAAUCCAAAAGGCGUUUCUGGCAUGUGUGGUGUUGCUUAGCAAUUCACGCAAACAAAUAUAUUUCCCUCUCAUUUUUUUCCCCAGCCC
This 335-nucleotide long non-coding RNA is filed under the name Fukomys damarensis (Damara mole-rat). RNAcentral describes it as "lncRNA (ENSFDAG00000023742.1)". Lineage: Eukaryota; Metazoa; Chordata; Mammalia; Rodentia; Bathyergidae. The record is from RNAcentral.